This 254-nucleotide ribosomal RNA is filed under the name uncultured bacterium. RNAcentral describes it as "partial 16S ribosomal RNA". It matches the Rfam family "Bacterial small subunit ribosomal RNA", at positions 524 to 776 of the family's 1533-position model. The record is from RNAcentral.
UACGUAGGACCCAAGCGUUAUCCGGAUUUACUGGGCGUAAAGAGUUGCGUAGGUGGCAAAGCAAGUUAGUAGUGAAAUCGUGUGGCUCAACCAUGCUCACAUUACUAAAACUGCUUAGCUUGAAGAUGAGAGAGGUCACUGGAAUUCCUUGUGUAGGAGUGAAAUCCGUAGAUAUAAGGAGGAACACCGAUGGCGUAGGCAGGUGACUGGCUCAUUCUUGACACUAAGGCACGAAAGCGUGGGGAGCAAACGGG